GGAUGGACCCGCGUCUGAUUAGCUAGUUGGUAAGGUAACGGCUUACCAAGGCGACGAUCAGUAGCCGACCUGAGAGGGUGAUCGGCCGCAUUGGGACUGAGACACGGCCCAGACUCCUACGGGAGGCAGCAGUGGGGAAUAUUGCACAAUGGGGGAAACCCUGAUGCAGCAACGCCGCGUGAGUGAUGACGGCCUUCGGGUUGUAAAGCUCUGUCUUUGGGGACGAUAAUGACGGUACCCAAGGAGGAAGCCACGGCUAACUAC
This 264-nucleotide ribosomal RNA is filed under the name uncultured bacterium. RNAcentral describes it as "partial 16S ribosomal RNA". It matches the Rfam family "Bacterial small subunit ribosomal RNA", at positions 223 to 504 of the family's 1533-position model. The record is from RNAcentral.